RNAcentral lists this ribosomal RNA (253 nucleotides) under uncultured microorganism. RNAcentral describes it as "partial small subunit ribosomal RNA". It matches the Rfam family "Bacterial small subunit ribosomal RNA", at positions 524 to 776 of the family's 1533-position model. The record is from RNAcentral.
UACGUAGGUGGCGAGCGUUGUCCGGAAUUAUUGGGCGUAAAGGGUGCGUAGGCGGUUUUUUAAGUGGGAUGUGAAAUCCACAGGCUUAACUUGUGAAUUGCAUUCCAAACUGGAAAGCUUGAGUACAGGAGAGGAAAGCGGAAUUCCCAGUGUAGCGGUGAAAUGCGUAGAGAUUGGGAGGAACACCAGUGGCGAAGGCGGCUUUCUGGACUGUAACUGACGUUGAUGCACGAAAGCGUGGGGAGCAAACAGG